Molecule: small nucleolar RNA, 138 nt
Filed under: Bos taurus (domestic cattle)
Lineage: Eukaryota; Metazoa; Chordata; Mammalia; Artiodactyla; Bovidae
Also listed under: 5 other names
Description: Small nucleolar RNA SNORA47 (ENSBTAG00000045134.2, ENSBTAG00085005506.1, ENSBTAG00090018476.1, ENSBTAG00095019795.1)
Rfam family: Small nucleolar RNA SNORA47
Source: Rfam by way of RNAcentral
CGGAGGACUGAGAAGGUGAGGCAGUUCUGAACCAUGCUGCCUUCCACUGGUUAAGACCUCCGAGAGCGAAGGCCUGCAGAGGCAGAGGAAGUCCCUCUGCCGCCCCCAGAGGGGCAGCACUGUGUUGGCCGACACUUG